RNAcentral lists this transfer RNA (72 nucleotides) under Planctomycetota bacterium. Its description in RNAcentral is "Planctomycetes bacterium (rhizosphere metagenome) tRNA-Arg". It matches the Rfam family "tRNA". Rfam says of the family: Transfer RNA (tRNA) molecules are approximately 80 nucleotides in length. Their secondary structure includes four short double-helical elements and three loops (D, anti-codon, and T loops). Lineage: Bacteria; Pseudomonadati; Planctomycetota. The record is from RNAcentral.
GUCCCUGGAGUGUGUUGGACAGCACGGUAGUUUCCGAAGCUGCAAGGCCAGGUUCGAUUCCUGGCAGGGAUA